AAGGAAAGAAAAAGAAGGGAAGGGGAGGGGAGGGGAGGGGGAAGAAAGAAAAGAGAAGAGAAGAAAGGAAAAGAAAAGAAAAGAAAAGAAAAGAAAAAGUGAGUGUCCACAGGAAAUGGUUCUGAAGGGGCCAGGCAUGGGCGGGCAUCACCUCCGCUGGGUGAUUGAAGGGCAACAGUGUGCAGCUGACAAAAGAAAAACUUGGCUGGUGCCUAUAAUCCCAACGCUUUGGGAGGCCAAGGCAGGCGGAUCAUCUGAGGCCAGGAGUUUGAGACCAGCCUGGCCAACAUGGUGAAAUCCCAUCUCUACUUAAAAAAAAAAAAAGAAAAAAAAAUUUAGCUGGGCGAGGUGGUGCGUGCCUGUAAUCCCAGCUG
RNAcentral lists this long non-coding RNA (374 nucleotides) under Homo sapiens (human). RNAcentral describes it as "non-protein coding lnc-PPIE-10:1". The record is from RNAcentral. Lineage: Eukaryota; Metazoa; Chordata; Mammalia; Primates; Hominidae.